Molecule: ribosomal RNA, 483 nt
Filed under: uncultured Acinetobacter sp.
Lineage: Bacteria; Pseudomonadati; Pseudomonadota; Gammaproteobacteria; Moraxellales; Moraxellaceae
Description: bacterial SSU rRNA
Rfam family: Bacterial small subunit ribosomal RNA
Source: RNAcentral
AUUGAACGCUGGCGGCAGGCUUAACACAUGCAAGUCGAGCGGAGAUGAGGUGCUUGCACCUUAUCUUAGCGGCGGACGGGUGAGUAAUGCUUAGGAAUCUGCCUAUUAGUGGGGGACAACAUUCCGAAAGGAAUGCUAAUACCGCAUACGUCCUACGGGAGAAAGCAGGGGAUCUUCGGACCUUGCGCUAAUAGAUGAGCCUAAGUCGGAUUAGCUAGUUGGUGGGGUAAAGGCCUACCAAGGCGACGAUCUGUAGCGGGUCUGAGAGGAUGAUCCGCCACACUGGGACUGAGACACGGCCCAGACUCCUACGGGAGGCAGCAGUGGGGAAUAUUGGACAAUGGGGGGAACCCUGAUCCAGCCAUGCCGCGUGUGUGAAGAAGGCCUUAUGGUUGUAAAGCACUUUAAGCGAGGAGGAGGCUACUGAGACUAAUACUCUUGGAUAGUGGACGUUACUCGCAGAAUAAGCACCGGCUAACUCUG